UACGUAGGGUGCGAGCGUUUAAUCGGAAUUACUGGGCGUAAAGCGUGCGCAGGCGGUUGUGCAAGACAGAUGUGAAAUCCCCGGGCUCAACCUGGGAAUUGCAUUUGUGACUGCACGGCUAGAGUGUGUCAGAGGGGGGUAGAAUUCCACGUGUAGCAGUGAAAUGCGUAGAGAUGUGGAGGAAUACCGAUGGCGAAGGCAGCCCCCUGGGAUAACACUGACGCUCAUGCACGAAAGCGUGGGGAGCAAACAGG
Molecule: ribosomal RNA, 254 nt
Filed under: uncultured bacterium
Lineage: Bacteria
Description: partial 16S ribosomal RNA
Rfam family: Bacterial small subunit ribosomal RNA
Source: RNAcentral